CUUCGGUGCAGUAGAGUGGCGAAAGGGCGAGGAAUAUGUACCUAACGUGCCUUCAGGUAAGGGAUAGCUCAUGGAAACGUGUGGUAAUACCUUAUAAUCUCAUUCUUCCGUAUGGUUGAUUGAGCAAAGGCUUGCUGCCUGAAGAUCGGGGUACAUCCUAUCAGCUUGUUGGUGAGGUAACGGCUCACCAAGGCGAAGACGGGUAGCGGGUGUGAGAGCAUGACCCGCCGCAUCGGGACUGAGACACUGCCCGGACUCCUACGGGAGGCUGCAGUAACGAAUAUUCCGCAAUGCGCGAAAGCGUGACGGAGCAAUGCCGCGUGUGGGAUGAAGCAUCUAGGUGUGUAAACCACUGUCAGGGUUUAGGAAUUUUGACCAGACCCAAAGGAAGAGCCGGCUAACUCUGUGCCAGCAGCCGCGGUAAUACAGAGGGCUCAAGCGUUAAUCGGAAUCACUGGGCUUAAAGGGUCCGCAGGCGGAUUAGCAAGUAUCUUGUGAAAUACCAUGGCUCAACCAUGGAACUGCUCGGUAAACUGCUAAUCUUGAACACGGUAGGGGCCAUCGGAACUCUAGGUGGAGCGGUGAAAUGCGUAGAUAUCUAGAGGAACGCCAGAGGCGAAGGCGGAUGGCUGGGCCGUUGUUGACGCUCAGGGACGAAAGCAUGGGUAGCGAACGGGAUUAGAUACCCCGGUAGUCCAUGCCCUAAACGAUGUGCACUAGGUCACGGAGGUUUUGACGCCGUCGCGGCCGAAGUUAAAAUUUUAAGUGCACCGCCUGGGGAGUACGGUCGCAAGGCUAAAACUCAAAGGAAUUGA
This 815-nucleotide ribosomal RNA is filed under the name uncultured bacterium. RNAcentral describes it as "bacterial SSU rRNA". It matches the Rfam family "Bacterial small subunit ribosomal RNA", at positions 80 to 913 of the family's 1533-position model. The record is from RNAcentral.